CUCAGUUGCCCUGGGUGCCCCUUCACACCAGCAGCCCCUCCCAAGGCACAGCUGUAGGCAGGUCCCUGCACAGGCAGGCAGCUGGCUGGUCCUUACGCACGAGCUAGGCUUCUGCACUCACUCAUGCUGUCUUCUCUUUUUUUCAUUGUCUUGGCAUCCUAGAACCCUGUGUCCACCCCAGCACCAUCCUGAGCCUUCGGGAAGGGAGCAGGUGACUAACUGGCCUGCAUCUCAAGCAAGAAUCAUUAUGUUUUCAAAGGGACUCACCUCUGCUCUGUGCAUUUCUUCCUGGAUGGUGCCUGGUGAGGAGCAAAGCACAGGUUGUUCUCUGGGAGCAUCGCUGCUCAAGAAGGACUGUGCUCCUGGAAGAACACCAGGGCUGAUGGCCAGAAACCAAGCUGAGUCAGCAGAUGGAGAAGUACAGCUUUUCACCAAAUUUCUAGGACUAAGCCAGCUCACCGUCCAGAAGGCCUUGCUGAAGAAGAAGUUGGGUGCACCUGAGGGAGAAUCCUGAGAUGCCGUCACCCCGUUCCUCAAAGCCUUGUGUGAGUGACCCUGUGCUCACUUACAAGAGUGACUCUGUUUGAGUAAAAUAAAGUAUCGCAUUCUCUGAGUGGUUCCUAGAUUUCCUAUAAAAUUAAUACUAUUCCUAGAUGCCUCUCCCCAAGCCCUGUAACCUGCCAUCCACACGGUGGCUAAUGGUAGUCAGGUGUUUUGACCAAAGUUUGUGUCGUUGUGGCCUCAUGUGUACCCGACUUGAGGUUGUUUUUGAUGUUCAGAAUUUAUUGAAUUUAUUGUUAGAAUUGCCAUGAUAUUCAGUGGCAGAAUCCCCAUGCUGCUCCUGACCCAGAAACUGAGGGCUGUAACGGUGGAAAGGGGCAUAUGGAAGACCUUAACAAGUCCCCGACCUACCAGGACAUUCGACCAAAUGCAAUACAUAUCCUCAGAUAAGUUAGAGAUUAAAUCCAUCAUCAAAGGCUUGGAAGAUUCAGAGGAGGAAAUAGAAACUCAAGACUUACACAACUAUCUGUUUCUUCCUAUGCAGAAGGCAGAUCUUGGAGAAUGACUGUGGAUUGUUAUAAAUUAAGUUAACUGGUGACUCUAAUGGAAGCUGCUGUUCCAAAUGUGUUCUCUUUACUGGAGCAAAUCAACAUAAUCCCUGGAACGCGAUUCUUAGCUAUUGACUUGG
This 1189-nucleotide long non-coding RNA is filed under the name Papio anubis (olive baboon). RNAcentral describes it as "lncRNA (ENSPANG00000049953.1)". Lineage: Eukaryota; Metazoa; Chordata; Mammalia; Primates; Cercopithecidae. The record is from RNAcentral.